Pimephales promelas (fathead minnow) is the source of this 239-nucleotide non-coding RNA. The record is from RefSeq and is a predicted model, not a curated record. NCBI's taxonomy places the organism in Eukaryota, Metazoa, Chordata, Actinopteri, Cypriniformes, Leuciscidae.
CACUCGGCCUCCUCUCGCCGCCAUCGCAGACGCGGUCGCUUUCCCAAUGCCAGUGUUCCCACCUGUCACACACAUCAGACACAGCUCUGUACUUUCCUGAAUAUCCACAUCCGAGUUCACAUCUACGAAGUUGAACAACCUCUGAGAAAUCAUGCAGAUAAACUUUUGCACGAACGUCUGUUUCACCUACCGGUUACAAUGACUGUCUUCCCAUGUAGUUUGGCUGUGCCGGUGAAGGU